Molecule: long non-coding RNA, 3299 nt
Organism: Esox lucius (northern pike)
Lineage: Eukaryota; Metazoa; Chordata; Actinopteri; Esociformes; Esocidae
Source: Ensembl
CGUCGGCGGUGUGCGGACCUGAAACCACACGCAAAGGGCAGUACCUGGUACAACCGGUGAAGGGUGAAAUAGCAGAGAUAUACUGGGGACUAUUGAUACCGGAAAAGCCGGACAAACAGGGUAUUUUGUCCCAGUACUUCAAGUGGAGGCCGUGGAUCUCCCUCCUCGAGCCGUACUUUCCUCCGCCAGACCCCCCACAUGUAACCCUAUUUUAUGAUCGGCAGGGCGAUGAGGUGUAUAGAGAAGGGUUUGGGGAUGUAGUGUGUGGGGACAUGUGGCAGGUCGGGUCUAAAUUCAUAUAUGUAGGCCCUGAAGGGGUAGCGGCAGAUGUACAGUUGACAGAGGAGCAGGAUCAGUGGUACAUGAUGGCGGAGGAGUCCGUCCCGCAUGUGUCACUGGCCCUGCAUCCUAAACACCAAGCAAAAGACCUGGGGCCCAUGGUUAAAAGGGCGGUCGAAUGCACUGAUUGGACACUCACUCAGGCGCCAAACGUAUGGUACUCACACAGCUGUAAGAUGUAAAAAUGGUUCACUUGCAUUGACCUGGCUAAUGUUUUUUCUGUCUCCCACUAGCAGAGGAACUUCGUGAUAUUUUUUCUUUCACACAUAGGGGUCGGCAAUGGCGAUACACGAGACUACCACAGGGGUUCGCGCUUUCCCCUGGUAUAUUCAACCAGGUACUGAGAGGAGCGCUGCAGGGAUGCUGCCUGCCGACAGGGGUAACUUUGGUCCAGUACAUAGAUGACCUGCUGCUGGCGGCCCCGAUGGUGGCUGCCUGCAUCCAAGCUACGAUGAAGGUCCUCACCAGACUGGCUGAGAAAGGGUUCAAGGUGUCAAAAGAAAAGCUACAGCUGGUAAGGACGCAGGUCUCCUUUCUGGGCAGAGUAAUCUCGCAGAAGGGAGCGGGGCUUUCCCCAGCUCACCGCACAACCAUCCUCCACCCUCCUUAACCUACUACUGUUCAGGAAAUGCUAUCAUUCCUGGGGCUCACGGGGUACAGCCGCAAUUACAUCCCAAACUAUUCAGGGCUCACAGGGCCACUUAGAGCGCUAGUUAAGGAGCAGGGAAUGCGUAAACUUAAAGCCAAUCUCAAUUGGACUUGCCCGGCCGACCAGGCCUUCAUUUUGCUGAUACAACAACUAGCCACCACAGCUGAUCUGGCCAUACCCGACUACACAAAACACUUUUUUUUUUAGAUGUUUCUGAAACAGGUCAAGUCAUGAACGGUCCUGUUUCAGAAAAAAAAAGGGGGAGAAGGCUCUGAGAGAGAUGAGCUAGUGAGACAUCAAAAGGGGGCUUCCCCACAAGAGAAAACAAUUUGGCAACAGAGACGAGCGGGCUCUGGAGAGGGCCAGAGGGUAGAGUAAUACUUUCACCAGCCAUGCGGGGAGAUAAAUUUGCAGAAGCCCACGGGUUGGGCCAUGUAGGGCCAGCACAGAUGUUGAGGAACUUGUGCCAUUGGUGGCACCCGUUUAUGGUAGACAUGGUACGUAACUACACUAGGACAUGCACCAUCUGCACUCACCACAACCCAAAACCGACGAUCAAACCUGAGAUGGGGGCGUUCCGACGAGACCUGGACAAGAGAUAGUGAUAUACUACACGGACAUGAGGGAAACUGUACGGGGGUGCCGCUACAUGUUAGUGUGUGUGGACAUGUUCACAGGGUGGCCAGAAGCCUGGCCAGCUAGAAGGGAGGACAGUCAGACAGUGAUCAAGUGUUUAGUGAACCAGUACAUUCCCAGACACGGCUUCCCAGAGAAAAUCAGGUCAGACAAUGGGACUCACUUUAAGAACAAUGAUUUACAGAAGGUAGAGAGCAUCCACAGUCCCAGGGAAAGGUAGAAAGGAUGAACCAAAACUUAAAAAACAAGUUGGCUAAGAUAUGUGCACAGACUAAAUUGAACUGGGUGGAUGCACUGCCACUGGCACUCAUGACAAUUCGAUGCUCGUUAAAUCAGACCACUGGGUUCACCCCAUACAAGCUGCUGACGGGGAGACAGUUUCCAGGACCAGCCGCGGGGCCUGCGGUCCCGGAAGGGGAAAAGUGGCCCAAAGAUCACAGAGUGUAUUUUGAGGAAUUGCGAGCUCUCGUUUCAGAAUUCACCAAUAGAGUCGGAGAACGGAGGGACCUGCACCCGCUGGACCAGAACCUGCUCCAGGCGGAGUGGGUGUUGCUGAAGGUCAUCAAGCGAAAGUGGUCGGAGCCAAGGUGGACGGGUCCUCAUCAGGAGAGAACGAGUCAUGCGGUCCGCCUGAGGGACAAAGGAGAGACCUGGUACCAUUGGAGCCAGUGUACACCAGCGCAGGAGCCAGGGAGGUCGCUAACGGACCUCAUCCAAACCGGGAAGGAGGAGCUUUCCCCAGCGUGGACGGAAGAAGGACCAACACCAGCCGGACCGGUGCCAGGAGCGGACCCCAGGACACGGCGGGACUACAAGCGAGUGAAGGAGACAAAGGACGGCGCCAGGGGAAUAGACUCUUAGGGGAAAGAACUGAAGAAUACUGUAACAAAAGGGGGUAUAGGACACCGAGUGGCUACCACUUGUGCCAAGAUGACAGGGUUACAGAGAAAGUUCUGAGGAGAUGAUAGUAGAAUGAAAUGGUAUAUGGGAAUUGGUGGAAUAAUGAUAUGUGUGUUGUGUGUUGUUACAGGUUUCCCAGGUUGGCAUCGGGUCUUCAUUCCCCCAGCGAAGAGGUUCGCGACCCCACCUGAGGACACCUGUUUGAGGAAAUUUGGGGGUAUUGAAUUGGACUAGGUCAAGGGGUCACGCACAAGCAUUCUGGGAUAGAUAAUCCGCUGGAGGAAUGGCUGACCUCGAUGUUCGGCCAGUGGAAAGGUUUGAUAAUGUCUGUUCUUUUAUCGCUUGCUACAUUUGGUGCUAUAAUGGUUACUUGUGGGUGUUGUUGUAUCCCAUGCAUAAGAGGGCUUGCCAUGAGAGUGAUCUCUACAGCCAUUGAGAAGGCUCCAGGACCGCCACCAGGGAUGCUGAUGCCUCUACUGGAGCAGCAUGACCUGGGAGAACUGGAGCUUGGCGAAUAGGGGUGAUCUCUCUGGGGAGAGAUCAAAAGGGGGAAUUGUAGAUGUAUUGAUUGUAUAAGUUAGUGAACUGUUAUAAGCUGUUGUAACCAAUGAAGCAGAAUAUUAAUUAACUGGGAUUGGGCCAAUGGCACACUUGCUUUGUAAGUUAACGCCUCUAUCUUUUUGGGCGUAGUAGAAGUAUAAAAAUGAUGUUUUGACUGUUGAUCCUUAGACAUUGGGCGGCGACACUUGUCUCCAAAAGCUUUUGUAAUAAACGG